Molecule: transfer RNA, 87 nt
Filed under: Candidatus Endomicrobiellum glyptotermitis
Lineage: Bacteria; Pseudomonadati; Elusimicrobiota; Endomicrobiia; Endomicrobiales; Endomicrobiaceae
Description: tRNA-Ser
Rfam family: tRNA
About the family: Transfer RNA (tRNA) molecules are approximately 80 nucleotides in length.
Source: RNAcentral
GGAGAGAUGGCCGAGUGGUUUAAGGCGAUAGUCUUGAAAACUGUUAUAGGGGAAACUCUAUCGGGGGUUCGAAUCCCUCUCUCUCCG